This is a long non-coding RNA of Archocentrus centrarchus (flier cichlid), 170 nucleotides long. RefSeq lists it as uncharacterized. The record is from RefSeq and is a predicted model, not a curated record. Lineage: Eukaryota; Metazoa; Chordata; Actinopteri; Cichliformes; Cichlidae. The transcript has 3 exons.
UCAGAUGGCCUCCAAAGAGAGUUGAGAUCUCUAAUUUCUAAAGACAGUGAAGCUUCAGGAUGUUCUGCCUGUGGAUGUGUUUGAGUCUGCUCUAUGCUCUACAAAGCCGUGUCUCAUCAGAUCAAGCAGUGUUACUGAUUUGCAACAAGACUGUGGAAGUUACACCUGGA